AUUGAACGCUGGCGGCAGGCUUAACACAUGCAAGUCGAGCGAGUGGCGGACGGGUGAGUAAUGUCUGGGACCCUGCCCGAUGGAGGGGGAUAACUACUGGAAACGGUAGCUAAUACCGCAUACCAUCAGAUGUGCCCAGAUGGGAUUAGCUAGUAGGUGGGGUAAUGGCUCACCUGGGCGACGAUCCCUAGCUGGUCUGAGAGGAUGACCAGCCACACUGGAACUGAGACACGGCCCAGACUCCUACGGUAGGAAGCAGUGGGGAAUUUUGCACAAUGGGCGAAAGCCUGAUGCAGCCAUGCCGCGUGUAUGAAGAAGGCCUUAGGGUUGUAAAGUACUUUCGGCGGGGAGGCGUUACCUGCAGAAGAAGCACCGGCUAACUCCGUGCCAGCAGCCGCGGUAAUAC
Molecule: ribosomal RNA, 406 nt
Filed under: uncultured bacterium
Lineage: Bacteria
Description: partial 16S ribosomal RNA
Rfam family: Bacterial small subunit ribosomal RNA
Source: RNAcentral